AUGAAUCAAUCAGAGAAUAUAAGCCAUCAAGCUGGCCAAGCAGCAGGACAAGCUCAGGAGAAAGGAAACAACAUGAUGGACAAGGCAAGCAAUGUUGCACAAUCUGCUAAAGAAUCUUGCCAAGAGGCUGGUCAGCAAAUGAAGACAAAAAUACAAGAGAAUAUUGAUGCUUUGAAGAGUAACGAUGGUGCAAACAAAUGA
This is a non-coding RNA of Vicia faba (fava bean), 201 nucleotides long. Lineage: Eukaryota; Viridiplantae; Streptophyta; Magnoliopsida; Fabales; Fabaceae. The record is from the annotation of a GenBank genome assembly.